GGUACUACAGAAUCACUUAAAGGUUUUGGUCAGAUGGGACUUCUGGAGAGCUCCAGUCCAGCUUCUGCCCUGAACAAAGCUCAUCUCCAAGACCAGUUUGAGACCUCCAUGACCCCUCAAGAAACAGAAAAGUGAACCUUAAUGCUAUUGAAAUAGCAUCAUCACGAUGAAAAAUAGAUGAACUCCUGUUGCCUGUGAACAAACCAGCUCUGUGGAGAGCUGUCUCCAGCCAAGCGACUCCCCUG
Long non-coding RNA from Melospiza melodia melodia, 245 nucleotides. RefSeq lists it as uncharacterized. NCBI's taxonomy places the organism in Eukaryota, Metazoa, Chordata, Aves, Passeriformes, Passerellidae. The record is from RefSeq and is a predicted model, not a curated record. The transcript is spliced from 3 exons.